This 548-nucleotide ribosomal RNA is filed under the name uncultured bacterium. RNAcentral describes it as "bacterial SSU rRNA". It matches the Rfam family "Bacterial small subunit ribosomal RNA", at positions 355 to 896 of the family's 1533-position model. The record is from RNAcentral.
UGGGGAAUUUUGGACAAUGGGCGCAAGCCUGAUCCAGCAAUGCCGCGUGAGUGAAGAAGGCCUUCGGGUUGUAAAGCUCUUUUGUCAGGGAAGAAACGGCUGKGGUUAAUAYCUUUGGCUAAUGACGGUACCUGAAGAAUAAGCACCGGCUAACUACGUGCCAGCAGCCGCGGUAAUACGUAGGGUGCAAGCGUUAAUCGGAAUUACUGGGCGUAAAGCGUGCGCAGGCGGUUUUGUAAGUCUGACGUGAAAUCCCCGGGCUCAACCUGGGAAUUGCGUUGGAGACUGCAAGGCUGGAGUCUGGCAGAGGGGGGUAGAAUUCCACGUGUAGCAGUGAAAUGCGUAGAGAUGUGGAGGAACACCGAUGGCGAAGGCAGCCCCCUGGGUCAAGACUGACGCUCAUGCACGAAAGCGUGGGGAGCAAACAGGAUUAGAUACCCUGGUAGUCCACGCCCUAAACGAUGUCUACUAGUUGUCGGGUCUUAAUUGACUUGGUAACGCAGCUAACGCGUGAAGUAGACCGCCUGGGGAGUACGGUCGCAAGAUUA